UACAAAUUUAUAUUUCUAAAAUAAAACAAAGUAAGACAUGGUUGAAAUUUUAAAGUUUGUAUACAUUAUUUUAAUUAUAACUUUUAUUUCUAUCACUCUAACAGAUGGAAUUUAUUUAUGCACCGAAGAUAAUGAUUGUGGUGAAAAGUAUUGUCCCCCUCCUGCAGUUGCAAAGUGCAUAAGACAUGUUUGUCAAUGUGUGUAUUAGUGGCAAUUUAUAUAAGAAAAAAUUCCAUGUAUUUCCAAUAUAAUGUUGUUUCUUUAAUAAUUUCUCGCACAUAA
This is a long non-coding RNA of Vicia villosa (hairy vetch), 282 nucleotides long. RefSeq lists it as uncharacterized. NCBI's taxonomy places the organism in Eukaryota, Viridiplantae, Streptophyta, Magnoliopsida, Fabales, Fabaceae. The transcript is spliced from 2 exons. The record is from RefSeq and is a predicted model, not a curated record.